ACGCGCUGGCACAUAGNACGAGGGUUGCGCUCGUUGCGGGACUUAACCCAACAUCUCACGACACGAGCUGACGACAACCAUGCACCACCUGUGCACGGCCCUUACGGACCCCGCAUCUCUGCAAGUUUUCCGUGCAUGUCAAGCCUAGGUAAGGUUCUUCGCGUUGCAUCGAAUUAAGCAACAUGCUNCCGCNGCUUGUGCGGGCCCCCGUCAAUCCCUUUUGA
RNAcentral lists this ribosomal RNA (224 nucleotides) under uncultured Actinomycetes bacterium. Its description in RNAcentral is "uncultured actinobacterium partial 16S ribosomal RNA". The record is from RNAcentral. Lineage: Bacteria; Bacillati; Actinomycetota; Actinomycetes.